Molecule: transfer RNA, 71 nt
Filed under: Dipodomys ordii (Ord's kangaroo rat)
Lineage: Eukaryota; Metazoa; Chordata; Mammalia; Rodentia; Heteromyidae
Rfam family: tRNA
About the family: Transfer RNA (tRNA) molecules are approximately 80 nucleotides in length. Their secondary structure includes four short double-helical elements and three loops (D, anti-codon, and T loops).
Source: Rfam by way of RNAcentral
GGCAGAGACUCAAGGGAUAGAGUGUCUGCCUAGCAAGUGUGAAGCUCUGAGUUCAAAUCUCAGUUCUGCCA